Schizosaccharomyces pombe (fission yeast) is the source of this 549-nucleotide non-coding RNA. Lineage: Eukaryota; Fungi; Ascomycota; Schizosaccharomycetes; Schizosaccharomycetales; Schizosaccharomycetaceae. The record is from the annotation of a GenBank genome assembly.
GGAGGAGGAAUAACUAUCGAACAUAGUCAAUUCCGAUGACAGACAGCCUGAAAUUUUCGCACUUUUAAAGAGGAACUCGCCAUUUUCAUCACUUCUACGUAAAAUGUAUAGCGAUGCCUCCAAAGUACAAGAAAGAAUAGGCGGAAAUUAAUAGAAGCUACAGUCAAUGGCAUAUAUCUUCUCAAAAAAACGAUUAAAAUAUUCAAUUUUUAUUAAGUAUAUAUUUCCCAUUGAGCACUUAAAUGUUCAAUUGAGACUUUAUAGAUUUCUGAACAGUUGCUUGUCUAAAAGAUUAAAGAAAGAUGAACCAAGGUUUAUUCAUAUUCAAGUUAAUUGCUUGAAAACAUACGUUUGUGUUUAAUCGUAUGUAUCUCUCAUUGAAAACGUGAAAACAUAUGGAUUUUAUCAACAGAUUUUCUGUGACUUGAACAUUAUAUUUCUUUUUGGUGUUAUCCUUUUAAGAGAUAUCAACGGAAUAGUAAAACACUGAGUUGCCGAGAUUACAACAACUGUAUAAAAUAAAUAAAAAAGAACGGUAAGAUCGAUAAA